AUUGAACGCUGGCGGCAUGCCUUACACAUGCAAGUCGAACGGCAGCACGGGAGCAAUCCUGGUGGCGAGUGGCGAACGGGUGAGUAAUAUAUCGGAACGUGCCCAGUCGUGGGGGAUAACGUAGCGAAAGCUACGCUAAUACCGCAUACGAUCUACGGAUGAAAGCGGGGGAUCGCAAGACCUCGCGCGAUUGGAGCGGCCGAUAUCAGAUUAGCUAGUUGGUGGGGUAAAAGCUCACCAAGGCGACGAUCUGUAGCUGGUCUGAGAGGACGACCAGCCACACUGGAACUGAGACACGGUCCAGACUCCUACGGGAGGCAGCAGUGGGGAAUUUUGGACAAUGGGCGCAAGCCUGAUCCAGCAAUGCCGCGUGCAGGAUGAAGGCCUUGGGUUGUAACUGCUUUGUACGGAACGAAACGGUGAGCUCUAAUAAAGACUUGCUAAUGACGGUACCGUAACGAAUAAGCACCGGCUAACUACGUGACCCG
This 488-nucleotide ribosomal RNA is filed under the name uncultured bacterium. RNAcentral describes it as "bacterial SSU rRNA". It matches the Rfam family "Bacterial small subunit ribosomal RNA", at positions 30 to 512 of the family's 1533-position model. The record is from RNAcentral.